CGCAUCUGUGCAUGCAGUAUAUCAAUAAGCGGAGGAAAAGAAACUAACAAGGAUUCCCCUAGUAACGGCGAGUGAAGCGGGAAGAGCUCAAAUUUGAAAUCUUAAAGGGUUUCCCUUUACGAAUUGUAGUUUAAAGAAGUGUUUUCUGUUGAGGUUUUGGUAAAAGUUCUUUGGAAUAGGACAUCAUAGAGGGUGAGAAUCCCGUAUUUGACCUUUACUUUCAACUUUGUGAUACACUUUCAAAGAGUCGGAUUGUUUGGGAAUGCAGUCCAAAAUGGGUGGUAAAUUUCAUCUAAAGCUAAAUAUUGGCGAGAGACCGAUAGCGAACAAGUACCGUGAGGGAAAGAUGAAAAGAACUUUGAAAAGAGAGUUAAACAGUACGUGAAAUUGUCAAAAGGGAAGCGUUUGACACCAGUGUUGUUUUUCUGAAAAUCAAUUAAAGAACUGUUUAUGCUAAGUUGUUUAGACUUUAUCAGCUAACUGUUUAGUUUUGAGCUUUUCUUUAAUGCACUUUUCAGUUAACAAGUCAACAUCAAUUUCUUUUGCUGUAAAAAAGCUUGAGGAAGGUGGCUUGAGAUUCGUCUUAAGUGUUUAUAGCCUCUUGCCUAUGCAGUCGGAGAGAUUGAGGUCUGCAGCGUAGAUCCUUCGGGGCUAAAUGCAUUUGUGCUAAGUUAUAACAUUUUAUAGACAACUUGUUGACUAUGAUUUGUCUUGUAGCUUACUCGCUUAUGUUAUUUUACCUACGCUUAGGAUGUUGAGUAGCGACAUACGCAC
Molecule: ribosomal RNA, 774 nt
Filed under: uncultured Neocallimastigales
Lineage: Eukaryota; Fungi; Neocallimastigomycota; Neocallimastigomycetes; Neocallimastigales
Description: partial large subunit ribosomal RNA
Rfam family: Eukaryotic large subunit ribosomal RNA
Source: RNAcentral